Long non-coding RNA from Thunnus maccoyii (southern bluefin tuna), 250 nucleotides. RefSeq lists it as uncharacterized. Lineage: Eukaryota; Metazoa; Chordata; Actinopteri; Scombriformes; Scombridae. The record is from RefSeq and is a predicted model, not a curated record. The transcript has 3 exons.
UCUGCUGAUUAAGAUCAUGUGAUAUGACUGAAAGCUCCAGACCAAACACUAAAUGGACUUUGUGUCUACAAGCCUUUUACAGUCAACAGUCACCAGCAGGACUUCAUAACAUGUGACCAACCACAGAUUUGGACACCAGAGAUGGUUGCUGGGAGAUGAGGAGUGACAGCGAGUGGAGCGAGGGCUGGUGGGGAGAUGUCAGCGGUGAGAAGUUCAGCAGAGUUCAACUUCAUGCAAAUGCAGUGACAAG